UCAUCUACCUCUCAACUUACACAUGCAAGUAUCAGCACACCCGUGAGAACGCCCUUCCACCUUCAUAGAACAAGGAGCCGGUAUCAGGCACAGAUUUCUAGCCCACGACACCUAGCUUUGCCACACCCUCAAGGGUACUCAGCAGUGAUUAACAUUGUUUAUAAGCGCCAGCUUGACUCAGUUAGAGAGCCUAGAGCCGGCUAAUACGGUGCCAGCCGCCGCGGCUACACCGCUAGGCUCAAGUUGAUAUUACUCGGCGUUAAGCGUGUUUAAAGUGCAUACUAAAUUAGAAUUAAACUACAACCAAGCUGUGACACGCUUGUUCCUAAGAAAGCCACAUACGAAAGUUAUUCUAACCUAACCACUUGAACCCACGACAGCUAGGACACAAACUGGGAUUAGGUACCCCACUAUGCCUAGCCGUAAAAUAUUUACUUACACCUUUAACCGCCUGGGAAUUACGAGCCCAAGCUUAAAACCCAAAGGACUUGACGGUGCCCCACCCACCUAGAGGAGCCUGUUCUUAAAAUCGAUUCCAGUCGUAAGCUUACCAUAUGAACGCUUAUUAGUGAGCUAAAAAGAUUUUUACAUAAAUACGUCAGGUCAAGGUGCAGCCCACGAAGUGGUAAGAAAUGGGCUACAAUUUCUACAACUAGAACACAACGAAAGACUAUAUGCAACUUAGUCAUGAAGGCGGAUUUAGAAGUAAAAAGAAAGUAGAGAGUUCUUUUUAAUUAGGCGCUGGGACGCGUACACACCGCCCGUCACCCUCUUCAAACGAUACAACUUAGUAUUUAACAGCUUUAUGCACUACAGAAGAGGUAAGUCGUAACACGGUAAGCGUACUGGAAAGUGCGCUUGGAUAAACAAAAUGUAGGUUAAUCAAAGCAUCUCGCUUACACCGAGAACAUGUCCGUGAAAAUCAGAUC
RNAcentral lists this non-coding RNA (929 nucleotides) under Microhyla irrawaddy. RNAcentral describes it as "partial 12S ribosomal RNA". It matches the Rfam family "Bacterial small subunit ribosomal RNA". Lineage: Eukaryota; Metazoa; Chordata; Amphibia; Anura; Microhylidae. The record is from RNAcentral.